RNAcentral lists this ribosomal RNA (503 nucleotides) under Podarcis sp. Jbel Siroua lineage. RNAcentral's name for it is "partial 16S ribosomal RNA". It matches the Rfam family "Bacterial large subunit ribosomal RNA", at positions 1853 to 2604 of the family's 2925-position model. Lineage: Eukaryota; Metazoa; Chordata; Lepidosauria; Squamata; Lacertidae. The record is from RNAcentral.
UCCCGCCUGCCCAGUGACUUUUUAAACGGCCGCGGUAUCCUAACCGUGCAAAGGUAGCAUAAUCACUUGUCCCCUAAAUAGGGACUAGAAUGAACGGCUAAAUGAGGACAAAACUGUCUCUUACGGACCAACCAAUGAAAUUGAUCUUCCAGUACAAAAGCUGGAAUAAAUCCAUAAGACGAGAAGACCCUGUGGAGCUUUAAAACCAAAACCACUAAAUAUGCUUCUUGGUUUUUUAGUUGGGGCGACUUUGGAGAAAAAACUAACCUCCAAAAAAUAAACCUAUUUAUCAAGAAUAAUACACCAAAAAUAAUCAAAUAGACCCAGCAACAUUUUUAUGUUGUCUGACCAAUAAACCAAGUUACCCCAGGGAUAACAGCGCCAUCCUCUUCUAGAGUCCCUAUCGACAAGAGGGUUUACGACCUCGAUGUUGGAUCAGGACACCCCUAUAGUGCAGCCGCUAUAAAAGGUUCGUUUGUUCAACGAUUAAAGUCCUACGUGAU